Molecule: small nucleolar RNA, 107 nt
Organism: Dioscorea cayenensis subsp. rotundata (Guinea yam)
Lineage: Eukaryota; Viridiplantae; Streptophyta; Magnoliopsida; Dioscoreales; Dioscoreaceae
Source: RefSeq, a predicted model, not a curated record
AACCCAUGUUAAGGAUAUUUCUGUAGGAGAUCCUAGAAUCUAUCCCAUGUUUCAUAAAGAGAUUCUAAUUCCAUUUGCACAAAAGAAGAUAUUUUAUUCCUAAGCUU